This 253-nucleotide ribosomal RNA is filed under the name uncultured bacterium. RNAcentral describes it as "partial 16S ribosomal RNA". It matches the Rfam family "Bacterial small subunit ribosomal RNA", at positions 524 to 776 of the family's 1533-position model. The record is from RNAcentral.
UACGUAGGGUGCAAGCGUUGUCCGGAAUUAUUGGGCGUAAAGAGCGUGUAGGCGGCCCGACCAGUCCGCUGUGAAAGUCCAGGGCUCAACCCUGGAAUGCCGGUGGAUACUGUCGGGCUAGAGUCCGGAAUGGGCGAGUGGAAUUCCUGGUGUAGCGGUGAAAUGCGCAGAUAUCAGGAGGAACACCAAUGGCGAAGGCAGCUCGCUGGGACGUGACUGACGCUGAGGAGCGAAAGCGUGGGGAGCGAACAGG